GACGAACGCUGGCGGCGUGCUUAACACAUGCAAGUCGAACGGAAAGGCCCUGCUUUUGUGGGGUGCUCGAGUGGCGAACGGGUGAGUAACACGUGAGUAACCUGCCCUUGACUUUGGGAUAACUUCAGGAAACUGGGGCUAAUACCGGAUAGGAGCUCCUGCUGCAUGGUGGGGGUUGGAAAGUUUCGGCGGUUGGGGAUGGACUCGCGGCUUAUCAGCUUGUUGGUGGGGUAGUGGCUUACCAAGGCUUUGACGGGUAGCCGGCCUGAGAGGGUGACCGGCCACAUUGGGACUGGGAUACGGCCCAGACUCCUACGGGAGGCAGCAGUGGGGAAUAUUGCACAAGGGGUGGAAGCCUGAUGCAGCAACGCCGUGUGCGGGAUGACGGCCUUCGGGUUGGAAACCGCUUUCGCUCAUGACGAAGCUUUGUGUGACGGUAGUGGGUAAAGAAGCACCGGCUAACUACGUG
This 469-nucleotide ribosomal RNA is filed under the name uncultured bacterium. RNAcentral's name for it is "partial 16S ribosomal RNA". It matches the Rfam family "Bacterial small subunit ribosomal RNA", at positions 28 to 507 of the family's 1533-position model. The record is from RNAcentral.